UUAAGCGACUAAGCGUACACGGUGGAUGCCCUGGCAGUCAGAGGCGAUGAAGGACGUGCUAAUCUGCGAUAAGCGUCGGUAAGGUGAUAUGAACCGUUAUAACCGGCGAUUUCCGAAUGGGGAAACCCAGUGUGAUUCGUCACACUAUCAUUAACUGAAUCCAUAGGUUAAUGAGGCGAACCGGGGGAACUGAAACAUCUAAGUAC
Molecule: ribosomal RNA, 206 nt
Filed under: Escherichia coli 6-537-08_S4_C1
Lineage: Bacteria; Pseudomonadati; Pseudomonadota; Gammaproteobacteria; Enterobacterales; Enterobacteriaceae
Description: partial 23S ribosomal RNA
Rfam family: Bacterial large subunit ribosomal RNA
Source: RNAcentral